This is a long non-coding RNA of Portunus trituberculatus (swimming crab), 441 nucleotides long. RefSeq lists it as uncharacterized. The record is from RefSeq and is a predicted model, not a curated record. The transcript has 4 exons. NCBI's taxonomy places the organism in Eukaryota, Metazoa, Arthropoda, Malacostraca, Decapoda, Portunidae.
UGAUCAGUUGGCAGAAAUCGUGAAGCUUGUAAGGCUUAUUGGAGUUUGUUGUUGCUACAUUUGUCACGCGCUGCAGCGCCACUCUGCACAUCGGCGCCUUUAAAUCUAGGCUUCGCGUUGCGGCCACAAUGGCGCUGUAAAGUCUGCAGCAGGUAGCUGGUUCCGCCCUACAAGGAAAAUUGCGUCUCUGCCGGAGUGCUACACGUGUGUCUUCAUGGGCGCCGCUGCCUUAUGAUUAGCCGGGAAAGGAACAGUCCGUACAUGAGUCACCGACGGCCGUUGCUCGACACAAGCUCAGUGCUCUCCCUCUCCGGCCUUCUCUUCCUCCAGUGCAUCCUGCCUUCUAUCCGGUGGACAACGUUACAUCAUGUCGCUUUCUACAUUCUGUAUUCUCUCGCAUUUUCCUUUUGAGCGUUAGAAUAUUAAUUUACACAUAUCAUU